RNAcentral lists this transfer-messenger RNA (386 nucleotides) under Metamycoplasma subdolum. RNAcentral describes it as "Standard tmRNA". It matches the Rfam family "transfer-messenger RNA". Rfam says of the family: Bacterial tmRNA, also known as 10Sa RNA or SsrA, is named for its dual tRNA and mRNA-like properties. Its role is to liberate the mRNA from a stalled ribosome. The record is from Rfam by way of RNAcentral. Lineage: Bacteria; Bacillati; Mycoplasmatota; Mycoplasmoidales; Metamycoplasmataceae.
GGGGAUGUCAUGGUUUCGACAUGCAUCCAAUGUAAUUAGCGGCAGUGGUUUUGCAAACCAUAAUGCUCUAGGCUUUUUAAACGCAAAGGAUAAAAAACCUGAAGGUGUAAGCCUUCCAGUUGUUGCAACAUACAACUACCAAUCAAACCUAGCAUUCGCCUAACUGAAUACUAGUCCACAGAUUUUUGGCCCGAAAAUCUAGUUGGCUAUAGGGCUAUUUGCAAUAAUUUUGUUAAUUUUUUAUUGUAUGAAAACUGCAAAUUAACUAUUCUAGUUAAGUUAUGAUACUAUGUGUUAACUAGCGAAAAAUAAGCAUUGUAUCUAAACUGUAGAUGUUAAUUGCAGAAGGUGUGUGGACCGGGGUUCAACUCCCCGCAUCUCCACCA